Molecule: ribosomal RNA, 254 nt
Filed under: uncultured bacterium
Lineage: Bacteria
Description: partial 16S ribosomal RNA
Rfam family: Bacterial small subunit ribosomal RNA
Source: RNAcentral
UACGAAGGACCCAAGCGUUAUCCGGAUUUAUUGGGUUUAAAGGGUGCGUAGGCGGAUUAUUAAGUCAGUGGUGAAAGCCUGCAGCUUAACUGCAGAACUGCCAUUGAUACUGAUGAUCUUGAGUAUGAUUGAGGUGGGCGGAAUGUGUCAUGUAGCGGUGAAAUGCUUAGAUAUGACACAGAACACCGAUUGCGAAGGCAGCUCACUAAGCCAUAACUGACGCUGAUGCACGAAAAGCGUGGGGAGCAAACAGG